ACCAGUACCGUGAGGGAAAGGCGAAAAGAACCCCGGGAGGGGAGUGAAAUAGAACAUGAAACCUUAAGCUUACAAGCAGUAGGAGGACGACUUAUCGUUUGACUGCGUGCCUGUUGAAGAAUGAGCCGGCGACUUAUAGUUAGUGGCAGGUUAAGGUAGAGAAUACUGGAGCCACAGUGAAAGCGAGCUUUAAUAGAGCGUGUGUCACUAGUUAUAGACCCGAACCCGGAUGAUCUAACCAUGGCCAGGAUGAAGCCUAGGUAAUACUAUGUGGAGGUCCGAACCGACUGAUGUUGAAAAAUCAGCGGAUGAGUUGUGGUUAGGGGUGAAAUACCAAUCGAAUUCGGAGCUAGCUGGUUCUCCCCGAAAUGUGUUUAGGCGCAGCGGUUAAUAUUAUAGCUUAGAGGUAAAGCACUGUUUCGGUGCGGGCUGGUAAUUCGGUACCAAAUCGAGGCAAACUCUGAAUACUAAGUGAACAGUUAACCAGUAAGACUGUGGGGGAUAAGCUUCAUAGUCAAGAGGGAAACAGCCCAGAUCACCAGUUAAGGCCCCUAAAUAAUUAUUAAGUGGUAAAGGAGGUGGGAAGACUCAGACAGCCAGGAGGUUUGCUUAGAAGCAGCAAUCCUUUAAAAAGUGCGUAAUAGCUUACUAGUCGAGCAACUCUGCGCCGAAAAUGAACGGGACUUAAGCAUGAAGCCGAAACUCCAGACUAGACACAAAUGAUUGUGUCUAUUGGUAGGGGAGCGUUGGACGAGCGGUUGAAGCCAGAGGGUAACUACUGGUGGACGUGGUCCAAGUGAUUAUGCCGGGAUGAGUAGCGAGAAAGAAGGUGAGAAUCCUUCUCGCCGUAAGCCUAAGGUUUCCUGGGCAAGGCAAUUCCGCCCAGGGUUAGUCGGUCCCUAAGGCGAGGGUGAAAGCCGUAGUCGAUGGGAAGCGGGUUAAUAUUCCUGCACCACUGUUAGCGUUGAAAGAGGAGUGACGGCGGGUAGAAGUUCAUCAAGCUGUUAGACGCUUGUUCCUGAUUUGGGGUGGCGGAUAGGAAAAUCCGUUCGCAUAAUCUCCGAUGAGGGUGGUAACUGAGUGGAAGUCCGUCCAAGAAAACCUUCGCUGGAGCAAAACAGUGACCGUACCAAAUCUGACACAGGAGGGCGAGGCGAAUAGCCUCAGGCGCUCGAGAGAACCAUACGUGAAGGAACUAGGCAAAUUAGCCCCGUAAGUUAGCGAUAAGGGGCGCCCGGAGCGAUCCGGGCCGCAGGAAAAUGGUGGCUGCGACUGUUUACUAAAAACACAGGACUCUGCUAAGUCG
RNAcentral lists this ribosomal RNA (1306 nucleotides) under Schmidingerella taraikaensis. RNAcentral describes it as "partial Bacterial large subunit ribosomal RNA". It matches the Rfam family "Bacterial large subunit ribosomal RNA", at positions 494 to 1833 of the family's 2925-position model. Lineage: Eukaryota; Ciliophora; Spirotrichea; Tintinnida; Rhabdonellidae. The record is from RNAcentral.